RNAcentral lists this small RNA (565 nucleotides) under Pan troglodytes (chimpanzee). RNAcentral's name for it is "retained intron". Lineage: Eukaryota; Metazoa; Chordata; Mammalia; Primates; Hominidae. The record is from RNAcentral.
GGUUGGCUCCUUCCUGAUGUUCUAGAGGAGAAUCUGUCUCAGGCCUCUCUCCCAGUUUCUUGUGGCUGCCAGCAUCCUUGGUGUCCCUUGGCAUGUAGACGCAUCACCCCAGUCUCUGCCUGCACCUUCCAUGGUGCUCUCCCCUGUGUGUAUCUCUGUCUCCUCUCCUUGUAAGGACACCAGGCAUACAGGCAUACUGGAUUAAGGCUCACCCUAAUCCUGUGUGACCUCAUCUUAAUUUGUCUACAUCUGCAAAGACCCUAUUUCCAAAUAAGGUCAAAUUCACAAGCACUGGGGGUCAGUACUUUGAUGUAUGUUUUGGGUGAACACAAUUUAACCCAUAACACUUUCUUCCCUUCUCCUGCUUUAGACAACAGCCCGGAGACGCGGGCUAAAGUGAAGUUUGUCCAGGACACUUCUAAGUAUUGGUACAAGCCUGAGAUCUCCAGGGAGCAGGCCAUCGCGCUCCUCAAGGACCAGGAGCCGGGGGCCUUCAUCAUCCGGGACAGUCACUCCUUCCGAGGCGCGUACGGGCUGGCCAUGAAGGUGUCUUCGCCACCUCCAA